UGCCUUGCAACUCCUAUCCCUACCUCCUCGUGGCCAGGGUACGAGUAACCUUAUGGAAGAUCUGGUAUCCAACCCCGGUGGGAACUUUCGUCGUAUGCUGACAGGGAAGG
Molecule: ribozyme, 110 nt
Filed under: Aedes aegypti (yellow fever mosquito)
Lineage: Eukaryota; Metazoa; Arthropoda; Insecta; Diptera; Culicidae
Description: drz-agam-1 ribozyme
Rfam family: drz-agam-1 ribozyme
Source: Rfam by way of RNAcentral